RNAcentral lists this ribosomal RNA (301 nucleotides) under uncultured bacterium. Its description in RNAcentral is "partial 16S ribosomal RNA". It matches the Rfam family "Bacterial small subunit ribosomal RNA", at positions 509 to 807 of the family's 1533-position model. The record is from RNAcentral.
CAGUCGCCGCGGGAAAACGGAGGGUGCAAACGUUAAUCGGAAUUACUGGGCGUAGAGCGUGCGUAGGCGGUUCGUUAAGUCUGUUGUGAAAGCCCCGGGCUCAACCUGGGAAUGGCAAUGGAUACUGGCGAGCUAGAGUGUGUCAGAGGAUGGUGGAAUUCCCGGUGUAGCGGUGAAAUUCGUAGAUAUUGGGAAGAACACCGGUGGCGAAGGCGGCGACCUGGUCCAUAACUGACGCUGAGGCGCGAAAGCGUGGGGAGCGAACAGGAUUAGAUACCCGUGUAGUCCCUGUCUCUUAUAC